AUUGAACGCUGGCGGCAUGCCUUACACAUGCAAGUCGAACGGCAGCACGGGAGCAAUCCUGGUGGCGAGUGGCGAACGGGUGAGUAAUAUAUCGGAACGUGCCCAGUCGUGGGGAUAACGUAGCGAAAGCUACGCUAAUACCGCAUACGAUCUAUGGAUGAAAGCGGGGGAUCGCAAGACCUCGCGCGAUUGGAGCGGCCGAUAUCAGAUUAGGUAGUUGGUGAGGUAAAGGCUCACCAAGCCGACGAUCUGUAGCUGGUCUGAGAGGACGACCAGCCACACUGGGACUGAGACACGGCCCAGACUCCUACGGGAGGCAGCAGUGGGGAAUUUUGGACAAUGGCGCAAGCCUGAUCCAGCAAUGCCGCGUGCAGGAUGAAGGCCU
RNAcentral lists this ribosomal RNA (385 nucleotides) under uncultured bacterium. RNAcentral's name for it is "bacterial SSU rRNA". It matches the Rfam family "Bacterial small subunit ribosomal RNA", at positions 30 to 417 of the family's 1533-position model. The record is from RNAcentral.